Molecule: long non-coding RNA, 680 nt
Organism: Saccostrea echinata
Lineage: Eukaryota; Metazoa; Mollusca; Bivalvia; Ostreida; Ostreidae
Exons: 2
Source: RefSeq, a predicted model, not a curated record
ACCACAUCAUAUCACAACAACGGACUUAAAAAUUUCACAAUGCUAGAUCGUACUUCCAUCGCUAUAUGUCUGCUAUUAUGUGUCAAAUUUCUGGUUGCUACUGAGAGUAUGAAGGCAUGCCGCAAUUGUGAAUACAACGGUGAAUCGCAGAGCCCCCUGACUCGUUUUGAUGUUCAGCUUUCUAGAUGUCGCUUGCGGCAAUGUUUUUGUCGCUGUGAUGGUUCGGUUUUUUGUCCUAGGGCACGGCACCGAUUGAUUUGUAGAGAUAAUUGUAUCUUGUGUAGAAAUCCCCUCACGUGGGAGGAGUUACCGCCCUUCACAAUAUUUGAGAUUUCUUUAAGAGGUAUUGACAUGACUUGUGAAUGCGGAUGUUUUGGAACGUAUUCUUGUACACAGUCUAACAGAUGAUUUUAUAAGAAUUAAUAUGUGUUUGGAUAUGUAUACAUAUACAGGCGGAUAUUCACCCAAUCUAUAGUCUUAAUGUAUGUCAAAAGACUAAUUUUAAAACCUUCUUUUGCAUCGAGAAAGUUCUAGGGGAGACCUUUAUUUUUCAAAUAUGUGUUUAACAAUAAUCAAGUAUUCAUCUGACAUGAAACUCGAAUGAUUUAUUUCUUUGUUCAAAGCUUUCAUAUUCGGAGUAUAAUCAUUUCGAAUAAAACUGAUGUCUGCCAAUCUGCUAA